CCAAGGUUGAUGCACUGAUGGAUGAGAUUAACUUCAUGAAGAUGUUCUUUGAUGCGGAGCUGUCGCAGAUGCAGACGCAUGUCUCUGACACAUCAGUGGUCCUCUCCAUGGACAACAACCGCAACCUGGACCUGGAUAGCAUCAUCGCUGAGGUCAAGGCCCAGUAUGAGGAGAUCGCCAACCGCAGCCGGACGGAAGCCGAGUCCUGGUAUCAGACCAAGUAUGAGGAGCUGCAGCAGACAGCUGGCCGGCAUGGCGAUGACCUCCGCAACACCAAGCAUGAGAUCUCUGAGAUGAACCGGAUGAUCCAGAGGCUGAGAGCCGAGAUUGACAAUGUCAAGAAACAGGUAGGGUGAGAUUGAAAGAGGGCAAGGAAGGGGCCUGAGCUCUAAAAGGAACACCUAUUUUGUUUUAUUUUGUUUUACUUUUGCUAAACACAUGCAGCUAGAUCCAGUACCAGUGUUUCAGUGUCCCGCCACCCACGAUGUACUGGUUUCUCUCUGGGAUUCAUGAUAGUUUGGUUUGCCUGAUCCAGAAUCUCAGAAGGAGACACCUCAGGUCCCAAGCAACCCCACUCUCCUCCUUUCUAUCUGUAGUGCGCCAAUCUGCAGAACGCCAUUGCGGAUGCCGAGCAGCGUGGGGAGCUGGCCCUCAAGGAUGCCAGGAACAAGUUGGCCGAGCUGGAGGAGGCCCUGCAGAAGGCCAAGCAGGACAUGGCCCGGCUGCUGCGUGAGUACCAGGAGCUCAUGAACACCAAGCUGGCC
RNAcentral lists this small RNA (764 nucleotides) under Pongo abelii (Sumatran orangutan). RNAcentral's name for it is "retained intron". The record is from RNAcentral. Lineage: Eukaryota; Metazoa; Chordata; Mammalia; Primates; Hominidae.